This 419-nucleotide ribosomal RNA is filed under the name uncultured bacterium. RNAcentral describes it as "bacterial SSU rRNA". It matches the Rfam family "Bacterial small subunit ribosomal RNA", at positions 508 to 927 of the family's 1533-position model. The record is from RNAcentral.
UCAGCAGCCGCGGUAAUACGUAGGCAGCAAGCGUUGUUCGGAGUUACUGGGCGUAAAGGGUGCGUAGGCGGUUGUUUAAGUUUGGUGUGAAAUCUCCCGGCUCAACUGGGAGGGUGCGCCGAAUACUGAAUGACUAGAGUGCGGGAGAGGAGAGUGGAAUUCCUGGUGUAGCGGUGAAAUGCGUAGAUAUCAGGAGGAACACCGGCGGUGUAGACGGCUCUCUGGACCGCAACUGACGCUGAGGCACGAAAGCGUGGGUAGCAAACAGGAUUAGAUACCCUGGUAGUCCACGCCCUAAACGAUGCAUAUUUGGUGUGGGUCAUUCAGUUGAUCCGUGCCGGAGCUAACGCGUUAAAUAUGCCGCCUGGGGAGUACAGUCGCAAGGCUGAAACUCAAAGGAAUUGACGGGGGCCCGCACA